Molecule: transfer RNA, 74 nt
Filed under: Mycobacteroides chelonae
Lineage: Bacteria; Bacillati; Actinomycetota; Actinomycetes; Mycobacteriales; Mycobacteriaceae
Also listed under: 1 other name
Description: (Mycobacterium chelonae corrig. Bergey et al. 1923 (Approved Lists 1980) emend. Kim et al. 2017) tRNA-Lys
Rfam family: tRNA
About the family: Transfer RNA (tRNA) molecules are approximately 80 nucleotides in length. Their secondary structure includes four short double-helical elements and three loops (D, anti-codon, and T loops). Further hydrogen bonds mediate the characteristic L-shaped molecular structure. tRNAs have two regions of fundamental functional importance: the anti-codon, which is responsible for specific mRNA codon recognition, and the 3' end, to which the tRNAs corresponding amino acid is attached (by aminoacyl-tRNA synthetases). tRNAs cope with the degeneracy of the genetic code in two manners: having more than one tRNA (with a specific anti-codon) for a particular amino acid; and 'wobble' base-pairing, i.e. permitting non-standard base-pairing at the 3rd anti-codon position.
Source: RNAcentral
GCGGGUGUAGUGUAGUCCGGUCAUCACUCUUGGCUCUUACCCAUGAAACUCAGGUUCAAAUCCUGGCGCCCGUA